Molecule: unclassified non-coding RNA, 1554 nt
Filed under: Leishmania donovani
Lineage: Eukaryota; Euglenozoa; Kinetoplastea; Trypanosomatida; Trypanosomatidae
Description: gene:LdHU3.16.0360(CDS-product:proteasome_26S_non -ATPase_subunit_9_putative)
Source: RNAcentral
GAGUGCACAGCUGGCACACACACGCGCACACACACACACACACAACUGCAUUGGCAGGCCAGGCGCCGUGACUUCUCGUGCUGCGGCUUUGGCUUCCCUCCCACGCUAGGCAGGCGAGGUCGCCUCCCCUUAUCCCGUAGCGCGGAAAAGCGGAAGCAAUGAACGGACACAGCAUCGAGGACAUUGUCGAGAUCGAGGACUACCGCGCCCCCGCGGUUGAAUCCACCAUAGGCGAUAUGGACAAGGAAGCCCUUCGUGAAGAGCUGCGUCGCCUGGACGCACAGAAGGCGGCCCUCGAGGCGAAGCUGACGGAUGCACUUCAGUAUCUCGCAUCGACCCCUGUUGGGCUUCGCGGCCGCUUGCUUGACGAUGAGGGGUUCCCGCGAAACGACUGUGACCUGUACGCGGUUCGCACAGCCCGGAACACGGCCGACUCCACGCGCAACGACCUGCGCGUGCUGAACGAAAAAAUAUACAGCCUUCUCAAUGAGCUGCACCUCCAGACGCAGGAGGAGGCGCAGCUACAGAUGGUACAGGACGCCGCUGCCCGCCGGCAACGACAGGCAGCGGCGGAGAAGCGGGCGCAGCGCAUGGCAGAGGUGCAGCGUGUCUCGCGGCUGAAGCCGUGUCUGGUGGUGGCGAAAGUGGACGCCAAUAGCCCAGCGGAGGAGGCCGGCCUCUCCGUCGGCAUGCAGAUCCUGCAAUACGGCGCCGUGACGCAGACGGAGCUGAUCGCGGAGGGCCUGCAGGCGCUGGCGAGGGAAACAUCCACCCACGAAGGGGCGCCGAUUGCAGUGUGGGUGCGGAAGCCAGGAGAGCUGCAAGAUGAUCCGUCCGAGCUUGUACUGGUGCCGCAGCGCUGGCAAGGGCCCGGGCUGCUCGGCUGCGCCUUGGACAUGGUCGGGGACGAAGCUCUGUGUGAAAGUCGCUGAUGGGCGAACACGCUUUUUUUUUCCACCUUUCUGGUGCCUUUAUGGACUGUGUCUGGGAGUGCUCUUCUCAUUCCAUGCAUACGUGCUUGUGUGUGUGUUUAUGCGUGUUGUGGUGCGGAGGGCGCAGCGGCGCUUCGCUAUGCCGCCGUUCUCACAUGACGGGCCCGCAUGAUCGCAUUCAGCCCUGCUCUGACUCGUCAUCUGGUGCUGCACGCAUGUGUGCGGCUUUCCGCGUGCCCUCUUCAAGAAAAAAAAACGCUUCUUUCGUGCGCGCCACUUGCGCUGGCACGAACUGCGAGAGACGUGCAGCGGGGCCGGCCUGUCUGCAUAUAGGCUGGUGCGCAUCGUCUACUGCUGUACAUUGGGGUGCGCGCCUACCGGGCUUAGGUCAUACUCGCACUCCUGCUCAACGCCGACAUCUCUACCCUUGUUUCGUCAUGAGGCGGAGGGCCACUCAUCGAUAGCGAAGCGCACGCUCGCACACCGGAACGGCGUCGCAUCCUUUCUCCCGUCCACGAGCCGGCCUUUGACUGUGCGCGCUACAACUUGACUGACGCCUCUUCGUCCGCAUACCUCGCUUGUACUUCACAUACCGCGGUAUGCAUGAUCUGCACACACGUAG